This 465-nucleotide ribosomal RNA is filed under the name Vreelandella stevensii. RNAcentral's name for it is "partial 16S ribosomal RNA". It matches the Rfam family "Bacterial small subunit ribosomal RNA", at positions 338 to 795 of the family's 1533-position model. The record is from RNAcentral. Lineage: Bacteria; Pseudomonadati; Pseudomonadota; Gammaproteobacteria; Oceanospirillales; Halomonadaceae.
CCUACGGGUGGCAGCAGUGGGGAAUAUUGGACAAUGGGGGGAACCCUGAUCCAGCCAUGCCGCGUGUGUGAAGAAGGCCCUCGGGUUGUAAAGCACUUUCAGUGAGGAAGAACGCCUGGUGGUUAAUACCCAUCAGGAAAGACAUCACUCACAGAAGAAGCACCGGCUAACUCCGUGCCAGCAGCCGCGGUAAUACGGAGGGUGCGAGCGUUAAUCGGAAUUACUGGGCGUAAAGCGCGCGUAGGUGGCUUGAUAAGCCGGUUGUGAAAGCCCCGGGCUCAACCUGGGAACGGCAUCCGGAACUGUCAAGCUAGAGUGCAGGAGAGGAAGGUAGAAUUCCCGGUGUAGCGGUGAAAUGCGUAGAGAUCGGGAGGAAUACCAGUGGCGAAGGCGGCCUUCUGGACUGACACUGACACUGAGGUGCGAAAGCGUGGGUAGCAAAUAGGAUUAGAUACCCCUGUAGUC